Molecule: ribosomal RNA, 396 nt
Filed under: uncultured bacterium
Lineage: Bacteria
Description: bacterial SSU rRNA
Rfam family: Bacterial small subunit ribosomal RNA
Source: RNAcentral
AAUCAACGCUGGCGGCGUGCCUAACACAUGCAAGUCGAACGCGAAAGCCCCGCAAGGGUUAGUAGAGUGGCAAACGGGUGAGUAACACGUGGGUGACCUGCCUUAGAGUGGGGGAUAACGUCCCGAAAGGGACGCUAAUACCGCAUAACAUCCUGCCUUUGAAGAGGUGGAGAUCAAAGCCGGGGACCGCAAGGCCUGGCGCUCAAAGAGGGGCCCGCGCCUGAUUAGCUAGUUGGUGAGGUAAGGCUCACCAAGGCAACGAUCAGUAUCCGGCCUGAGAGGGCGGACGGACACACUGGGACUGAGACACGGCCCAGACUCCUACGGGAGGCAGCAGUGGGGAAUUGUUCGCAAUGGGCGCAAGCCUGACGACGCAACGCCGCGUGGAGGAUGAAG